Molecule: long non-coding RNA, 317 nt
Filed under: Phascolarctos cinereus (koala)
Lineage: Eukaryota; Metazoa; Chordata; Mammalia; Diprotodontia; Phascolarctidae
Description: lncRNA (ENSPCIG00000023272.2)
Source: RNAcentral
GCUCUAUCCACUGUGCCACCUACCUGCCCCUGCACUGGAGCUUUGAGCUGGGGCACAGAGUCUCCUGCAGGUGAGUGCUAAGGACUAACACUCUCACCUAAUCAUAGAACCACCAUAUCUCUCAUCUUCAUCAUGCUGCCUCCUACAUUCCUUCACCUUUUUAUUGCCUCUUCUCCCAGGACUCAGGUCUGGGCCGGCUGAAACCCAAUGUGCUAGUCUUGGAUAUAAGCAUGAUUGGCAAGAGGUGCCCACACUUGCAAUAAAGGACUACAUGUUUUUGGACUCUGAAGGAAUGGAUGCCUUGGAGAAAGGGGUGG